This 253-nucleotide ribosomal RNA is filed under the name uncultured bacterium. RNAcentral's name for it is "partial 16S ribosomal RNA". It matches the Rfam family "Bacterial small subunit ribosomal RNA", at positions 524 to 776 of the family's 1533-position model. The record is from RNAcentral.
UACGUAGGGCGCAAGCGUUGUCCGGAAUUAUUGGGCGUAAAGAGCUCGUAGGCGGUUUGUCGCGUCUGCUGUGAAAACCUAAGGCUCAACCUUGGGCUUGCAGUGGGUACGGGCAGACUAGAGUGCGGUAGGGGUGACUGGAAUUCCUGGUGUAGCGGUGGAAUGCGCAGAUAUCAGGAGGAACACCGAUGGCGAAGGCAGGUCACUGGGCCGCAACUGACGCUGAGGAGCGAAAGCAUGGCGAGCGAACAGG